CCUUGAGCUGUGGUGGGCUCCACCCAGUUCGAGCUUCCCUGCUGCUUUGUUUACCUAAGCAAGCCUGGGCAAUGGCGGGCGCCCCUCCCCCAGCCUCGCUGCCGCCUUGCAGUUUGAUCUCAGACUGCUGUGCUAGCAAUCAGCGAGACUCCGUGGGCGUAGGACCCUCUGAACCAGAAUGUGAUUUUGAAGAAAGGAGGAAAGAUGUGAAAAGUGAUUGGUCAGCCACAUUCAUGGUGUUGAGAAAAGAAUUUGCUUUUCUGGAACAUAGCCUGUGAUAGCAGAACAACACCUGGCAAGAAACAGGUUAUGUUUGGCUGGAGAGUCAUUGGCACUAUCAAGAAAUAUUAAAGUGUAGAUUUGAGAGAGGAGGAGAAAGACCCAAGCAAAAUUGAAAACCAGGUGGGACCCAGACAGCAGCAAAGCAAUGGAAGCAUGUAUUUUGGUCAAUAUAGAGUUAAUACACAAUUUUGCCCCUCUUCUUCUGAUCAUGGGACUCAUAUUACCAGUCUUCACAUUUCCUUUAAAUUCAGGAAUCAGGAAGAAUUUCCAGAGUUUGCAGAUGGACACAUUUGCUGCUUCCAUUCUAAACAUAAGUUAGAAGAACCUUUCAACUGGAUUCCAACUUUAAUAUGUCACAAACAUAAAAAAGAAAGCUAUUUCCUGGACUUUUCUUCAUUAGAAAUUAAUAGAUUGUCAAUUGGCAUAGGGAAAAGAUAAUCAACAGAUGCCAACCCCAAGUUAACAGAAAUGCUAAAAUUAUAAGACAAAGACUUCAAAAUAGCUAUUUUAAUUUUGCCUAGUGAGGUAAAUGCAAACAUGCUCACUAUGAA
RNAcentral lists this long non-coding RNA (833 nucleotides) under Homo sapiens (human). RNAcentral's name for it is "non-protein coding CASC9:1". The record is from RNAcentral. Lineage: Eukaryota; Metazoa; Chordata; Mammalia; Primates; Hominidae.